CAGAUAACAGUGAAGCCUAAGAAUUAAUGUGUAUUCGAAUCAUAGUGUUGAUCUUCCCCAAGAGCUCACAUCGACGGGAAGGUUUGGCACCUCGAUGUAAGCUCUUCGCCACCUGGGGCUGUAGUAUGUUCCAAGGGUUGGACUGUUCACCCAUUAAAGCAGUACGUGAGCUAGGUUCAGAACGUCGUAAGACAGUUCGGUCCAUAUUCGGUGUGGGCGUUAGGGCAUUGAGAGGACCUUUCCCUAGUAUGAGAGGACCGGGAAGGACGCACCUCCGGUGUACCAGUUAUCGUGCCCACGGUAAAUGUUGGGUAGCCAAGUGCAGAGCGGAUAACUGCUGAAAGCAUCUAAGUAUAUAUGUGUGUGUUUCUCUAUGUAUAUGUAUAUGUUUGUAUAUUUUCUAAAAAAAUAUUAAAUGGCUUAACAAUAGAAUGACUUUAUUUUUCUAUAAAAAGUCUAAGAUUCAAUAUUUAUG
Ricinus communis (castor bean) is the source of this 475-nucleotide non-coding RNA. Lineage: Eukaryota; Viridiplantae; Streptophyta; Magnoliopsida; Malpighiales; Euphorbiaceae. The record is from Rfam.